This 405-nucleotide ribosomal RNA is filed under the name uncultured bacterium. Its description in RNAcentral is "bacterial SSU rRNA". It matches the Rfam family "Bacterial small subunit ribosomal RNA", at positions 355 to 775 of the family's 1533-position model. The record is from RNAcentral.
UGGGGAAUAUUGGGCAAUGGGCGCAAGCCUGACCCAACAACGCCGCGUGAGGGAAGAAGGUCUUCGGAUUGUAAACCUCUGUCCUUGGUGAAAAGUAAGAGAUGGUAGCCAAGGGGGAAGCUCCGGCUAACUACGUGCCAGCAGCCGCGGUAAUACGUAGGGAGCGAGCGUUGUCCGGAAUGAUUGAGCGUAAAGGGCGUGUAGGCGGCCGUUUAAGUCUGGAGUGAAAUUCCUGUUUUUAAGGUAGGAACUGCUUUGGAAACUGGACGGCUUGAGUGCAGGAGAGGUUAUCGGAAUUCCCGGUGUAGCGGUGAAAUGCGUAGAGAUCGGGAGGAACACCAGUGGCGAAGGCGGGUAACUGGACUGCAACUGACGCUAAGGCGCGAAAGUGUGGGGAGCAAACAG